UACGAGGGGGGCGAGCGUUGUUCGGAAUUAUUGGGCGUAAAGGGUGCGUAGGCGGCCUGACAAGUCUGAUGUGAAAUCCCUGGGCUCAACCCAGGGCCUGCAUCGGAAACUGUCGGGCUUGAGUAUGGGAGAGGUGAGUGGAAUUUCCGGUGUAGCGGUGGAAUGCGCAGAUAUCGGGAGGAACACCCGUGGCGAAGGCGGCACUCUGGGACGGUACUGACGCUGAGACGCGAAAGCGUGGGGAGCAAACAGG
This 253-nucleotide ribosomal RNA is filed under the name uncultured bacterium. Its description in RNAcentral is "partial 16S ribosomal RNA". It matches the Rfam family "Bacterial small subunit ribosomal RNA", at positions 524 to 776 of the family's 1533-position model. The record is from RNAcentral.